AGUGAGGAAUAUUGGUCAAUGGGUGCAAGCCUGAACCAGCCAUGCCGCGUGCAGGAUGACGGUCCUAUGGAUUGUAAACUGCUUUUGUACGGGAAGAAACACUCCGACGUGUCGGAGCUUGACGGUACCGUAAGAAUAAGGAUCGGCUAACUCCGUGCCAGCAGCCGCGGUAAUACGGAGGAUCCAAGCGUUAUCCGGAAUCAUUGGGUUUAAAGGGUCCGUAGGCGGUCUUGUAAGUCAGUGGUGAAAGCCCAUCGCUCAACGAUGGAACGGCCAUUGAUACUGCAGGACUUGAAUUAUUGGGAAGUAACUAGAAUAUGUAGUGUAGCGGUGAAAUGCUUAGAGAUUACAUGGAAUACCAAUUGCGAAGGCAGGUUACUACCAAUGGAUUGACGCUGAUGGACGAAAGCGUGGGUAGCGAA
This 422-nucleotide ribosomal RNA is filed under the name uncultured Flavobacteriaceae bacterium. RNAcentral describes it as "bacterial SSU rRNA". It matches the Rfam family "Bacterial small subunit ribosomal RNA", at positions 353 to 772 of the family's 1533-position model. Lineage: Bacteria; Pseudomonadati; Bacteroidota; Flavobacteriia; Flavobacteriales; Flavobacteriaceae. The record is from RNAcentral.